CUCUGUGGAGACGCGAAACACUUGCCAGGUGACCCAUCCGUCCUCCCACGGUGAGCUUUCUUUUCACCAUAAUCCACAUCUCAGCAUCGCUGGGGCUUGGACCUCUCGACUUCUCGCGUUACUCGGAGCGGGGGCCCAAAUUUGAAAAAUGCAGCUCACCCUACGUACUGUCCUUGUUGUGAGUUCGGCGCAUUAAAGCAAAAACCUGGGGUGU
This 214-nucleotide ribosomal RNA is filed under the name Trypanosoma congolense. Its description in RNAcentral is "srRNA1". The record is from RNAcentral. Lineage: Eukaryota; Euglenozoa; Kinetoplastea; Trypanosomatida; Trypanosomatidae.